UACAGAGGUCCCAAGCGUUACUGAGAAUCACUGGGUUUAAAGGGUGCGUAGGUGGUCCGUUAAGUUUGUUGUGAAAUCCCCGGGCUCAACCCGGGAAUUGCUUCGAAUACUGGCGGACUUGAGUCCUGUAGGGGUCACUGGAACAGACGGUGGAGCGGUGAAAUGCGUAGAUAUCGUCUGGAACGCCUGUGGUGAAGACGGGUGACUGGGCAGGUUCUGACACUGAGGCACGAAAGCGUGGGGAGCGAACGGG
This 253-nucleotide ribosomal RNA is filed under the name uncultured bacterium. RNAcentral describes it as "partial 16S ribosomal RNA". It matches the Rfam family "Bacterial small subunit ribosomal RNA", at positions 524 to 776 of the family's 1533-position model. The record is from RNAcentral.